GGUUUGAUGGUGUAGUUGGUUAUCACACUCGUCUCACACACGAGAGGUCCCGAGAUCGAGCCUCGGUCAAAUCA
Non-coding RNA from Tricharina praecox, 74 nucleotides. NCBI's taxonomy places the organism in Eukaryota, Fungi, Ascomycota, Pezizomycetes, Pezizales, Pyronemataceae. The record is from the annotation of a RefSeq genome assembly.